Molecule: non-coding RNA, 45 nt
Organism: Trichobilharzia regenti
Lineage: Eukaryota; Metazoa; Platyhelminthes; Trematoda; Strigeidida; Schistosomatidae
Source: Rfam
AUCCAGAUGAAAAGUCCCAAAUAGGACGAAAUGCGCAUCCUUGAU